GUGUCUUGGCCGAAACAGAAAGUCGCCAUUGUUCAUUUUCAUGGCGUGUAUAGCCACUGAUAACUCGUUUCUUACUGUGCUUUAUUGAUGGGAAUUCUCAUCUUGUGACUCCCUAUUUCUUAUCUGAUUCUCUGAGAUUAGGCUGGAUUAGGCCCUAGAUUUGAUUUCGUGUCAUUUGUGUCUACGAUUGCCUUAUUGACCGGCUCCUAAUUGUGGAUGCUAGGCAAUUUGUGCUCUGUGCAUUUUAUGUUGACGAAUAAACCCGUGAUUCUCUGAGAAGCAAUUGAUAGGCCUACGCCUCCCUCUUCGACCGUCCCAUUCUCUCGCUGAAACA
Molecule: long non-coding RNA, 334 nt
Filed under: Daphnia pulicaria
Lineage: Eukaryota; Metazoa; Arthropoda; Branchiopoda; Diplostraca; Daphniidae
Description: uncharacterized LOC124319723
Source: RNAcentral